This 2436-nucleotide ribosomal RNA is filed under the name Triticum aestivum (bread wheat). RNAcentral's name for it is "partial small subunit ribosomal RNA". Lineage: Eukaryota; Viridiplantae; Streptophyta; Magnoliopsida; Poales; Poaceae. The record is from RNAcentral.
AUGGCGGCGGUGACGGGCGUUCACCGUCACCACUGGUCGGGCUGGAGGAUUGGGGGAGGUUCCCAGUUCGUUCCUCGGAAAGUUAUGCACACCAAUGGCGGCGGCGCGGCGCGUUCGCUCGGCCUCGGCCUCUCCCCAACCAAAGGGGCGGCGCUGGUAUUUCUCUUCCUCCUGCUCAUUGACGGUGCCCUGCUUGCCGCGUCUGCCACCACGGACACCAUCCUCCCCGGCGAGGGCAUCUCCGGGAACGAGACCCUGGUCUCCAGGAGCGGCGGCUUCGAGCUGGGCUUCUUCUCCCCAGGCCCCGGCAUCCACUACUUCCUGGGUGUCCGGUUCCGGAAUAUGGGCCACAGCCCUACCUUCUGGCUCGGGGACAGGGUCGUCAUCACCGACCUGCCCGCCGCGUCGCUGGAGAUCUUCGCCGACAGUCUCUGCAUCAAGCAGAAUGGAGCCAGCCUCCGGUGCAUGCCGUCGCCGGGCGGCAAUGUGUCGUCCGCCGCCGUGGCGGUCCUCCUCGACAACGGCAACCUGGUGGUGAGGGACCAGGGGAACUCCUCCCUGGUCCUGUGGCAGAGCUUCGACUACCCCAGCGACGCGCUGCUCCCCGGAGCUAGGCUCGGGCUCGACAAGGACACCGGGAAGAACGUCUCGCUGACGUUCAAGAGCUUCUCGCACAACGGCAGCCUCAGCGUCGACGCGAACCGCAGGAACGGGUUCGUGCUCACCACCGACGGCCAUGCCAACCGCGGCACCUUCCCGGACUGGAUGGUGUCCUCUCAAGACAAUGGCAGCUCGCUGCUGCUCAAUCACAGGGAGGGCCUGAACAGUACCGAGUUCUUGCAGUUCCAUCUGGGGCAAGUCAGCCUAAUGCGGUACUCGGAGCCGGAUCCCGCCGGAAACGGCACCGGUGGUUGGGUUGCUCGCUGGUCCUUCCCUUCCAAUUGCAAGUCCGGCGGGUUCUUCUGCGGUAAGUUCGGCGCCUGCACGAGCAGCGGGAAGUGCGGCUGUGUGGGCGGGUUCACGCCGUCGUACCCGAUUGAGUGGGGGCUUGGGUACUUCGUCAACGGCUGCUCGAGGUCUCUCCCGCUGAGCUGCGAGUCCGACGGCCAGACGGAGCACGAUGACUCCUUCGCCCCGUUGGACAAGCUGCAAGGGCUUCCUUACGACGCCCAGGAAGAGAUGGCCGGAACUGAUGAAGUCUGCAGAGAGGCUUGCCGGAGCAAAUGCUACUGCAUCGCCUACUCGUAUGGCGGCCAUGGAUGCAAGCUAUGGUACCACAACCUGUAUAAUCUGAGCUUGGCUGCCAGGCCACCGUACAGCAAGAUCUACCUCCGUUUGGGCCCCGCGCCCAGGAACAAGAAAGGCUUGCAAGCAAGAGGAAUUGCAUUAUUGGUCACUGGAUUGAUAUGCUUUGCUUCCUUGAUACUGAUAAUGGUGCUGCUAUGGAGAUUCAGGAGGAAUUCGCUUGCCGCCGGGAAGUUUGAAGUGGAAGGCCCUCUUGUGGUCUACACUUAUGCACAGAUCAAGAAAGCCACGAUGAAUUUCUCCGAUAAAAUCGGCCAGGGGGGAUUCGGAAGUGUUUUCAGGGGAACGCUGCCGGGAUCAACAGACAUCGCUGUGAAGAAUCUCAAAGUAAUCGGGGAAGCAGAGAAGCAGUUCAGAACAGAGGUGCAGACACUCGGAGCGAUCCAACAUAAUAAGCUGGUCCGUCUGCUGGGAUUCUGUGUCAAGGAGGACAGAAGGUUGCUCGUCUAUGAGUACAUGCCAAAUGGCUCCUUGGACGCUCAUCUCUUUAGGGAGAAAUCUGGUGUGUUGAGUUGGAACGUUCGCUACCAAAUUGCACUGGGCAUCGCCAAGGGUCUCGCCUAUCUGCAUGAAGAAUGUGAGGACUGCAUCAUACACUGCGACAUCAAACCCGAGAACAUACUGCUCGACGCGGAGUUCUGCCCCAAGAUCGCCGAUUUCGGCAUGGCGAAGCUGCUGGGACGGGAAUUCAACUCCGCGCUGACCACCAUGCGAGGAACCAUGGGAUACCUCGCGCCGGAGUGGCUGUCCGGGCUGCCCAUCACCAGGAAGGCCGACGUGUACAGCUUCGGCAUUGUGCUCUUCGAGAUCGUCUCGGGGAGAAGGUGCACUGAGGUGGUGAAAAUUGGGAGCCAUCGGUAUUUUCCUCUCCACGCGGCUGCGCAGGUGAACGAAGGGGAGGUUCUGUGCCUGCUGGACGCUCGGCUGGAAGGCGAUGCUAAUGUGGAGGAGCUGGAGGUCAUCUGUAGGGUCGCCUGCUGGUGCAUCCAGGACCAGGAGAACGAUAGGCCGUCAAUGGGGCAAGCUGUUCGCAUGUUGGAAGGUGUCGUGGACGUUGAUAUGCCUCCAGUACCAACUUCGCUUCAGGACCUUAUGGAGGGUGAUGGAAGUGAUAUAUAUCCUGAUUCCUGA